This 198-nucleotide non-coding RNA is filed under the name Oscillospiraceae bacterium. RNAcentral describes it as "6S RNA". It matches the Rfam family "6S / SsrS RNA". From Rfam's summary of the family: E. coli 6S RNA was the first non coding RNA to be sequenced, but its function was unknown until recently. It consists of 184 nucleotides that fold into an extended hairpin structure with a large single-stranded internal bulge. The 6S RNA specifically associates with RNA polymerase holoenzyme containing the sigma70 specificity factor. The record is from RNAcentral. Lineage: Bacteria; Bacillati; Bacillota; Clostridia; Eubacteriales; Oscillospiraceae.
AGUUUACUGCCUUGUGCGUUUAUACUGCCGUUAUAUAAUCCAACAGAUAUAACUAGGGAUUACUGUUCUUGCAGCGGAUUGCAGACCUCCCGCAUACCUUAUACAGUAUGCGGACGUUGGGAGCGCGAAACUGUGAGGCGUUUGCCCACCUGCUACUGCGGGUUUUAUUGGGUCGUGUGACGGCAAGGCGGUUAAUUU